This 439-nucleotide ribosomal RNA is filed under the name uncultured bacterium. RNAcentral's name for it is "partial 16S ribosomal RNA". It matches the Rfam family "Bacterial small subunit ribosomal RNA", at positions 339 to 795 of the family's 1533-position model. The record is from RNAcentral.
CUACGGGUCGCUCCAGUGAGGAAUAUUGCACAAUGGGGGGAACCCUGAUGCAGCAACGCCGCGUGGAGGAUGACGCAUUUCGGUGUGUAAACUCCUUUUAUAUGUCAAGAAAAUGACGGUAGCAUAUGAAUAAGCACCGGCUAACUCCGUGCCAGCAGCCGCGGUAAUACGGAGGGUGCAAGCGUUACUCGGAAUCACUGGGCGUAAAGGACGCGUAGGCGGGCUUGUAAGUCAGGUGUGAAAUCCUACAGCUUAACUGUAGAACUGCACUUGAAACUACGAGCCUAGAGUAUGGGAGGGGGAGAUGGAAUUAGUGGUGUAGGGGUAAAAUCCGUAGAUAUCACUAGGAAUACCUAAAGCGAAGGCGAUCUCCUGGAACAUAACUGACGCUAAGGCGUGAAAGCGUGGGGAGCAAACAGGAUUAGAUACCCCCGUAGUC